Molecule: transfer RNA, 91 nt
Filed under: [Bacillus] selenitireducens MLS10
Lineage: Bacteria; Bacillati; Bacillota; Bacilli; Caryophanales; Bacillaceae
Description: tRNA-Ser (GCT) (tRNA-Ser-GCT-1-1)
Rfam family: tRNA
About the family: Transfer RNA (tRNA) molecules are approximately 80 nucleotides in length. Their secondary structure includes four short double-helical elements and three loops (D, anti-codon, and T loops). Further hydrogen bonds mediate the characteristic L-shaped molecular structure. tRNAs have two regions of fundamental functional importance: the anti-codon, which is responsible for specific mRNA codon recognition, and the 3' end, to which the tRNAs corresponding amino acid is attached (by aminoacyl-tRNA synthetases). tRNAs cope with the degeneracy of the genetic code in two manners: having more than one tRNA (with a specific anti-codon) for a particular amino acid; and 'wobble' base-pairing, i.e. permitting non-standard base-pairing at the 3rd anti-codon position.
Source: RNAcentral
GGAGAAGUACCCAAGUGGCUGAAGGGGCUCCCCUGCUAAGGGAGUAGGUCGUUUGCGCGGCGCGAGGGUUCAAAUCCCUCCUUCUCCGCCA